UACAGAGGGUGCAAACGUUGCUCGGAUUUACUGGGCGUAAAGCGCGUGUAGGCGGUCUACUAAGUCGACUGUGAAAGCCCAUGGCUCAACCAUGGAAGUGCAGUCGAUACUGGCUGACUCGAGUCCCGGAGAGGAUGGCGGAAUUCCCAGUGUAGAGGUGAAAUUCGUAGAUAUUGGGAGGAACACCGGUGGCGAAGGCGGCCAUCUGGAAGGGUACUGACGCUGAGACGCGAAAGCGUGGGGAUCAAACAGG
This 253-nucleotide ribosomal RNA is filed under the name uncultured bacterium. Its description in RNAcentral is "partial 16S ribosomal RNA". It matches the Rfam family "Bacterial small subunit ribosomal RNA", at positions 524 to 776 of the family's 1533-position model. The record is from RNAcentral.